ACCCCCCCCACAGAGACCCCCCCCAUUGACCCCCCAGAGAGACCCCCCCAAUAGCCCCCCAAGAGGACCCCCCCCCCAAUAGACCCUAAAGAGACCCCCCCAAUGGACCCCAAAAGAGACCCCCCCUCAUUGGACCCCCCCAUAGAGACCCGCCCAUAGCUUGCCCAUAGCUGCCCCAUAGAUGACCCCAUAGAUACCCUUAAAGCACCCCAUAUCUGUCCCAUAGCUGCCCCCAUAGAUUACCCAUAGCUGCCCCAUUGGCUGCCCCAUAGCUGCCCCAUAAGAUACCCAUAGCUGCCCCAUUAUUGCCCCAUAGAUACCCCAUAGCUGCCCAAGAUACCCCAUAUCUGCCCCCAUAGCUGCCGCCAUAUCUGCCCCAUAUCUACCCAUAGCUGCCCCAUAGAUACCCCAUUAGCUGCCCCAUAUCUGCCCCAAGAAGAUAACCCCAUAUCUUGCCCCUAGAUAACCCCAUAGCUGCCCAUAGCUGGCCCCAUAGAUACCCCCAUAGCUGCCCCAUAGUGCCCCAUAUCUACCCCAUAGCUGCCCCAUAGAUACCCCAUAGCUGCCCCAUAGAUACCCUAUAUCUGCCCUAUAUCUGCCCCAUAGCUGCCCCACAUCCGCCCCAUAGCUCACCUUGCAGAAGCUGCAGUAGCUGCAGAUGGAUCCCGGCCUGUAACGUCCAUCACCACCAUCAUCAUCAUCAUCAUCAUCUUCAUCCUCCUCCGAGCUGCCCCCACCACCAUCAUCAUCAUCAUCAUCCUCCUCCUCGGAGCUCACGGGGUCGCCAUGGUGAUGGUUGCCAUGGUGACGAGCAUCCUGGUUGCCAUGGUGAUGGACAUCAUGGUCGUCAUGGUGAUGGACAUCAUGGUCGUCAUGGGGAUGAGCAUCCUCGUGGUCGUCAUGGUGAUGGACAUCCUGGUUGCCAUGGUGAUGGUUGCCAUGGUGAUGGCCAUCAUGGUCGCCAUGGGGAUGCUCUUCAUCCUGGUUGUCAUGGUGACGGUCGCCAUGGUGAUGGUUGUCAUGGUGAUGGUCGCCAUGAUGAUGGAGAUCCUGGUCGCCAUGGUGAUGCUCUUCAUCCUGGUUGCCAUGGUGAUGGUUGCCAUGGUGAUGGACAUCCUCAUGGUCUCCAUGGUGAUGGACAUCCUCAUGGUCUCCAUGGUGAUGGACAUCCUGGUUGCCAUGGUGAUGGUCGCCAUGGUGACGAGGAUCCUCAUGGUUGCCAUGGUGAUGGUCGCCAUGAUGAUGGACAUCCUGGUUGCCAUGGUGAUGGUUGCCAUGGUGAUGAGCUUCAUGGUCGCCAUGGGGAUGCUCUUCAUCCUGGUUGCCAUGGUGAUGGUUGUCAUGGUGAUGCCCAUCCUGGUUGCCAUGGUGAUGAGCAUCCUCCUGGUUGCCAUGGUGACGGUCUCCAUCCUGGUUGCCAUGGUGAUGGUUGCCAUGGUGAUGGUUGCCAUGGAGAUGCUCUUCAUCCUGGUUGCCAUGGUGAUGGACAUCAUGGUCGCCAUGGUGAUGCCCAUCCUGGUUGCCAUGGUGAUGCUCUUUAUGGUUACCAUGGUGACGGUCGCCAUGUUGAUGCCCAUCCUGGUCUCCAUGGUGACGGUUGCCAUAGUGACGAGCAUCCUCCUGGUCGCCAUGUUGACAUUCCUUAUGGUCUCCAUGUUGAUGCUCUCCAUCCUGGCCGCCAUGUUGAUGCUCCUCCUUGUUGCCAUGGUGACCGUCUCCAUGGUGAUGCUCUUCCUGGUUGCCAUGGUGACGCCCCUCCCCCCCGUCACCACGAGGCUCUUCCCUCCUCCCCUCCCCCUCCCCCCCCCCACCCUUUCAUCCACCCCUUCGAUUUUCGCAAUAAUCAUCACCCACUGUUGGCGCGUCUCCAACCCCGCUCCCCCUCCAACCAUAACAUGGGCGAGUCCGCGUAGCACCACCAUUAACCCCCCCCCCAUUUCCAAACCCGGGGGGGGCAGGAGGAGCCCCGAGGAACAGCCAAAGGAUCCGACCCCCCAUAGCCAGAACAGCAUCCAGACGCAAAUUGAGGAAACAGCUUGCUUUCUAGCACCCCCCCACUGUCUCAGGGGGCGGGUGGGGCUGCAUAUUACUAUCUACCCCCCACCGCCCCUAUAGACUAGACAUGAAGGAGGAGGAGAGCGGACAUUCCUAAUACAUACAUCCCACUCCCCCCUCAGUCCCAUACUUAGAUGCUGUAACAGGGGGGGGGGGGGGGGGGGGCACAUAAUAGGCCCCCCCCCCUUUAAUAGCCCCCCCCCCAGCGCCCCAUAGAUAGACUUGAAUUUAAAAGGGGGGUAUUGAAUAUCUACCCCCCCCCCCACAACCCCAUAGAUAGACAUGAGGGGGGGGGGGGGUUAUUUAUCACCUGCCCCCCCCCCCCCAGCCCUAUUAUAUAGACAUAAAGGAGGGGGGGAGGCGAAUUUGGAAAAAACCCCCCCCCCAUCAGCCCCAUAGACUGUAAGGCUUGGGGGGGGGGGGCACAUAAUAGACCCCCCCCCUUAAUAGCCCCCCCCCAGCCCCAUAGAUAGACUUGAAUUUAAAGGGG
This is a long non-coding RNA of Coturnix japonica (Japanese quail), 2545 nucleotides long. The record is from Ensembl. NCBI's taxonomy places the organism in Eukaryota, Metazoa, Chordata, Aves, Galliformes, Phasianidae.